AUGUAUGUUUGUUAUUUAUUGCAGUUUCAGAAGCUGCAAAUGAGAUUACACGCUGACCAAGUCAUGCUGGAACAAGUACAACAGGAGAACCAGUGCCUGAAUCAGCAAGUUGCCCAUCUGACGGCUGCAUUUAUGGCACUGCAGAAAAUGGCCAGAUCUUCCCUACUUCGGGCCAUCCCCAGGCCUUUGGUUCUUCCCAGAAGAAGAAAGAAACCAUUGGACCUCAUCCAGCAAAGCGAUGCCUUUCCUCAACAGCACAAGAGAGCAUGGACUCUUUUGACAAGGAUGGACCCUUUGGACAAGAAUGGGCUGGACAAUGUUCAGCUUUCAAACAUUAAGGUGUGAACAAACCAUAGUGGGGGUGAGGAAGAAAGGCUGGAAGAGGGAUUUCUGAGACCGAGGGUAAGAACUGAGGUAGCUGGUGUCUGCUUUCUGACACAGCUGGAAGGCCUAUGUAAAAUGCUGCAGUCAUGUCACUUGUCCCCUCAAAGUUACAAUAUUGUAAUUGAAAAAUAAAAAAGCACUGAAUGUUUUUAAUUUCCUUUAU
This 547-nucleotide long non-coding RNA is filed under the name Numida meleagris (helmeted guineafowl). RNAcentral describes it as "lncRNA (ENSNMEG00000011158.1)". Lineage: Eukaryota; Metazoa; Chordata; Aves; Galliformes; Numididae. The record is from RNAcentral.